RNAcentral lists this ribosomal RNA (474 nucleotides) under Triticum aestivum (bread wheat). RNAcentral's name for it is "partial small subunit ribosomal RNA". The record is from RNAcentral. Lineage: Eukaryota; Viridiplantae; Streptophyta; Magnoliopsida; Poales; Poaceae.
AUGCAUUUGAAGAAAACCACAUUCAUGCUAGCUACUAUGCAGAUUAUUUUGAUUGCAGCUAAAGCUACAUUAUUGGGUUCUCUAUCCUUGAAGAAGCUUCAGACUUUCCAUGAAUCAUUGAACUACUAUGGAUACCUCUUCCUUAGCACAGGUAAACUAUUAUGUAUUUAUAUAUACAUGCUCAGGUUUCAUACAACUAUCGUACCGCUCAGUAAUGCCAAAGGGUGUUAUGCCUCAGAAAAUCCAUAUAAGGAACACUGCUUGGAUAAUUUUGAGUAUACCCUUUGUUUCUACUUCCUCUCUGAAGAUUUAUCGUUAGCCUGCUUCUUCUGCUGUGCGUGGCUAGCAACACUUCCUUCCAGUAAUCUUGAAGCAAAGCACAUGGGUUAUGUAGAAACGCAUCAGUCUAUAGAUCCUCGUGAAAAGUAUUAUCCUGCCAACGGAUACAUAAAUUUGUCUUUGUAUAACCAAUAA